This 324-nucleotide unclassified non-coding RNA is filed under the name Coprinellus disseminatus. RNAcentral describes it as "partial internal transcribed spacer region". The stretch from base 1 to 46 matches the Rfam family "Eukaryotic small subunit ribosomal RNA", at positions 1786 to 1831 of the family's 1831-position model. The record is from RNAcentral. Lineage: Eukaryota; Fungi; Basidiomycota; Agaricomycetes; Agaricales; Psathyrellaceae.
AAGUCGUAACAAGGUUUCCGUAGGUGAACCUGCGGAAGGAUCAUUAACGAAUAACUAUGGUGUCUUGGCUGUCGCUGGCUCCUCGGAGCAUCGUGCACGCCCGCCAUUUUUAUCUAUCCACCUGUGCACCGAAUGUAGGUCUGGAUGACUCUCGUCUCCGGGCGGAUGCGAGGUUUGCGUGUGCGUUGCGUACGGGCUCACCUCGAAUUUCCAGACUCUACGUCUUUUUACACACCCCAAACGUAUGAUGCAGAAUGUAGUCAAUGGGCCUUUAAAAGCCUAUCAAACACUAUACAACUUUCAGCAACGGAUCUCUUGGCUCUC